UACUGGGCGUAAAGCGAGCGUAGGUGGCUUGACUAAGUCAGAUGUGAAAGCCCCGGGCUUAACCUGGGAACGGCAUCUGAUACUGUUAGGCUAGAGUAGGUGAGAGGAAGGUAGAAUUCCAGGUGUAGCGGUGAAAUGCGUAGAGAUCUGGAGGAAUACCGAUGGCGAAGGCAGCCUUCUGGCAUCAUACUGACACUGAGGUUCGAAAGCGUGGGUAGCAAACAGGAUUAGAUACCCUGGUAGUCCACGCCGUAAACGAUGUCUACUAGUCGUUGGGUCCCUUGAGGACUUAGUGACGCAGCUAACGCAAUAAGUAGACCGCCUGGGGAGUACGGCCGCAAGGUUAAAACUCAAAUGAAUUGACGGGGGCCCGCACAAGCGGUGGAGCAUGUGGUUUAAUUCGAUGCAACGCGAAGAACCUUACCUGGUCUUGACAUAUCUAGAAUCCUGCAGAGAUGCGGGAGUGCCUUCGGGAAUUAGAAUACAGGUGCUGCAUGGCUGUCGUCAGCUCGUGUCGUGAGAUGUUGGGUUAAGUCCCGCAACGAGCGCAACCCUUGUCCUUAGUUACCAGCGGUUUGGCCGGGAACUCUAAGGAUACUGCCAGUGACAAACUGGAGGAAGGCGGGGACGACGUCAAGUCAUCAUGGCCCUUACGACCAGGGCUGCACACGUGCUACAAUGGUAGGUACAGAGGGCAGCUACACAGCGAUGUGAUGCGAAUCUCAAAAAGCCUAUCGUAGUCCAGAUUGGAGUCUGCAACUCGACUCCAUGAAGUAGGAAUCGCUAGUAAUC
This 792-nucleotide ribosomal RNA is filed under the name uncultured bacterium. Its description in RNAcentral is "bacterial SSU rRNA". It matches the Rfam family "Bacterial small subunit ribosomal RNA", at positions 552 to 1343 of the family's 1533-position model. The record is from RNAcentral.